Molecule: ribosomal RNA, 355 nt
Filed under: uncultured bacterium
Lineage: Bacteria
Description: bacterial SSU rRNA
Rfam family: Bacterial small subunit ribosomal RNA
Source: RNAcentral
GUGAGUAGUUCAGAGUUUGAUCCUGGCUCAGGAUGAACGCUGGCGGCGUGCUUAACACAUGCAAGUCGAACGAAGCAAUGCAACGGAAGUCUUCGGGUGGAAGAUGUAUUGACUGAGUGGCGGACGGGUGAGUAACGCGUGGGUAACCUGCCUUGCACAGGGGGAUAACAGUUAGAAAUGACUGCUAAUACCGCAUAACCCGCUAGUACCGCAUGGUACAGACGGAAAAGAUUUAUCGGUGUAAGAUGGACCCGCGUCUGAUUAGCUAGUUGGUAGGGUAACGGCCUACCAAGGCGACGAUCAGUAGCCGGCUUGAGAGAGUGACCGGCCACAUUGGGACUGAGACACGGCCCAA